This is a long non-coding RNA of Nyctereutes procyonoides (raccoon dog), 291 nucleotides long. RefSeq lists it as uncharacterized. The transcript has 3 exons. The record is from RefSeq and is a predicted model, not a curated record. Lineage: Eukaryota; Metazoa; Chordata; Mammalia; Carnivora; Canidae.
AUAGCAGAUUGCAUGACAACUAGUGCAGCAAAUAGAUUGAUUUUUCUGCCCCCCUAGAAGAAAAUGUUUGACACAAAGAGGCGACCCAGUGCUUGGACAGACUUUCUGCAUGAGGAUCAUGCUGGACUUAGCACACUCGAGUGCAAGCAGAAGGCGGAAUCCAAAAUGCCAGCUCAACUUGUGGAAUUGCCCAGGCAUUGUUUCUACUUCUGACCGCUCUUUGACCACCAGACACUAUUCCAGACCCUGAACAUAUAUCAGUGAAGGAGACACACAAGAGAUGCCUACUGU